RNAcentral lists this ribosomal RNA (341 nucleotides) under uncultured bacterium. RNAcentral's name for it is "bacterial SSU rRNA". It matches the Rfam family "Bacterial small subunit ribosomal RNA", at positions 155 to 496 of the family's 1533-position model. The record is from RNAcentral.
AAUGAAGAUUAAUCCCCCAUAGUCUCUUUUAAUGGCAUCAUUACAAGAGUAAAGGUUACGGUAUAAGAUGAGUAUGCGUUCUAUUAGUUUGUUGGUGAGGUAACGGCUCACCAAGACUGCGAUAGAUAGGGGCCCUGAGAGGGGGAUCCCCCACACUGGUACUGAGACACGGACCAGACUCCUACGGGAGGCAGCAGUGAGGAAUAUUGGACAAUGGAGGCAACUCUGAUCCAGCCAUGCCGCGUGCAGGAAGACUGCCCUAUGGGUUGUAAACUGCUUUUAUACAGGAAGAAACCUUGGUACGUGUACCAAGCUGACGGUACUGUAAGAAUAAGGAUCGG